Molecule: ribosomal RNA, 463 nt
Filed under: uncultured bacterium
Lineage: Bacteria
Description: partial 16S ribosomal RNA
Rfam family: Bacterial small subunit ribosomal RNA
Source: RNAcentral
GAUGAACGCUGACAGAAUGCUUAACGCAUGCAAGUCUUUGGCGAAGCUGUGCUUGCACAGCCUAGCCAAGGCGGACGGGUGAGUAACGCGUAAGGAACUUGCCCUGCAGUCAGGGAUAACAGACGGAAACGACUGAUAAGACCUGGUAAAGUCAGGCGGACUCAUGUCCAGCCUGAUGAAAAGAGAUGCUGCAGGAGAGCCUUGCGUCCUAUUAGCUUGUUGGUGGGGUAACGGCCCACCAAGGCGAUGAUAGGUAGCCGGCCUGAGAGGGUGGACGGCCACAAGGGGACUGAGAUACGGCCCUUACUCCUACGGGAGGCAGCAGUGGGGAAUAUUGGACAAUGGGGGCAACCCUGAUCCAGCAAUUCUGUGUGCACGAUGAAGGUUUUCGGAUUGUAAAGUGCUUUCAGAAGGGAAGAAAAAAAUGACGGUACCUGCAGAAGAAGCGACGGCUAAAUACGUG